RNAcentral lists this ribosomal RNA (302 nucleotides) under uncultured bacterium. Its description in RNAcentral is "partial 16S ribosomal RNA". It matches the Rfam family "Bacterial small subunit ribosomal RNA", at positions 355 to 651 of the family's 1533-position model. The record is from RNAcentral.
UAGGGAAUCUUCCACAAUGGACGCAAGUCUGAUGGAGCAACGCCGCGUGAGUGAAGAAGGUUUUCGGACCGUAAAGCUCUGUUGUUGGUGAAGAAGGAUAGAGGUAGUAACUGGCCUUUAUUUGACGGUAAUCAACCAGAAAGUCACGGCUAACUACGUGCCAGCAGCCGCGGUAAUCGUAGGUGGCAAGCGUUGUCCGGAUUUAUUGGGCGUAAAGCGAGCGCAGGCGGAAGAAUAAGUCUGAUGUGAAAGCCCUCGGCUUAACCGAGGAAUUGCAUCGGAAACUGUUUUCUUGAGUGCAG